AGCUCCAAUAGCGUAUAUUAAAGUUGUUGCAGUUAAAAAGCUCGUAGUUGGAUCUCGGGUCCAGGCUUGUGGUCCGCCGCAUGGCGGUUACUGCUCGUCCUGACCUACCUCCCGGUUUGCCCUUGGUGCUCUUGAUUGAGUGUCUCGGGUGGCCGGAACGUUUACUUUGAAAAAAUUAGAGUGUUCAAAGCAGGCAAUUCGCCUGAAUAAUGGUGCAUGGAAUAAUGGAAUAGGACCUCGGUUCUAUUUUGCUGGUUUUCGGAGCUUGAGGUAAUGAUUAAGAGGGACUGACGGGGGCAUUCGUAUUACGGUGUUAGAGGUGAAAUUCUUGGAUCGCCGUAAGACGAACUACUGCGAAAGCAUUUGCCAAGAAUGUUU
This 378-nucleotide ribosomal RNA is filed under the name uncultured eukaryote. RNAcentral's name for it is "SSU rRNA". It matches the Rfam family "Eukaryotic small subunit ribosomal RNA", at positions 587 to 969 of the family's 1831-position model. The record is from RNAcentral.